This is a non-coding RNA of Microcebus murinus (gray mouse lemur), 3323 nucleotides long. Lineage: Eukaryota; Metazoa; Chordata; Mammalia; Primates; Cheirogaleidae. The record is from RefSeq and is a predicted model, not a curated record.
CAAUUUUUUAAAUCUUGUUUUGUUUUUCUUCAGUGAAUAUAUCUUGUUCUCUUUCAUGUAGAGGCUUUCCAGAAAUCUCUGGUCACCCUUGCUGGUAUUAAAGUGGGAUAUUAAAAAGGUGACUGGAAGGUCUGAACACCUGGACCUAUUGGUUCUGAAGUUGACUGUGGUGUGAUCAGUGGGGGCUGCUCUUGGGAGAUGCUAGAAAUUUAGACAGUUUUCUUGUGCUAGUCACUAGAGAGGAGUUUUUUAGUCUUUUACAUAGAAAUGCUGGUAGUGUUUUGGGAACUGAGUGGAGCAGAAGAGUUGAGGUUGGGGGCGUUUAGCAUUUGCAUUUGAUAUACACAGAGACAAUUUCUUUAUUUUUGGUAGGGAGCACAGCCCUGCAGUCUCGAGUACAGAGACCUCCCUCUGCCCAGCCUCGACUGUUUCCACAGAAUCAACCUGCAAUUUUAUGCUGAUGUAGAGGACAGGCAAUUUCUCAGUGGAUUGGAAUGGGGAUGGGAGUCUGGCACUCUUAACUGUUCUUUUACCCGAUCUUAUUUAAGUCUCUCUUUUUAUCAUCUCUAGAUACCUGGAACAGACAAAUUCAGAGACUGUAUUAGCUAGAGAUCUACAGAAAAACAGAACCAAUAGAAUCCGUACAGAUAUAUUAAGGGAGAUUUUAUUAUGGGAAUUGAGUCAUGCUAUUAUGGAAGCUGAGAACUCCCAUGAUCUGCCAUCUGCAAGCUGGAGAUCCAGGAAGGGGGCAAAGGUGGCAUGGAAAUAGGAGGGUCACAGUGUAUGCACAUUGUGCCGUCAUCUAAAUGUGCCUGUCAACACGGCCUGCCACAUUUCAGUACCUCUCCCACCAUCAACCAGGGAACUGGAAAGGAGGUAAAAUUCAAAUAUUCUCCAGGAUUAAGGAACCAAUUCAGGAGGAAGGGGAAGACUGAGUUGCCUGACCAAUACAGUACGUGAGUGUGUUUUUGUGCUUGAAUUAUUUUGACAGUUGCAUCUACUAAUUUUUUGAUGAAUAUAGAGCUUUUUAUAGCUGGAGAUUUAAUCAUUUUUUUAAUUGCUUGAAAGCAAUAGAGACUGCCUAUAUAUCAUGAAUAUUAAGGUUAGGCAAUAUUUUGUUUAAAAGUUUAUCCCUAUAAUUGAAACAAAUUCAGAUAGCAAAAUCAUCUUUCUAACUUUUGGCUUUUCUUGAAAAUAAAUGCUUCCAAGUCAUAAUAAUGACAACUCUUGCCAGGUGUUGGCAGUGCAGUUUCACAAAAAGAUUUUCAUUCACCAGCUUAGCUGCUGGUGCCAUCUAGUGGCCAGUCCAAUGGAUAGACAAAGAUGGGUUCAGAAAAUGUACUCAAGAAGAAUUUGUUGCAAUCCUUUCUUUAAUAUUGAUAAUAAUGAUGCCCUCAAAGAAAACCAGAUAUUAAUAUUUAUAUUGUAAUUUGAAAGUUAUCAAAGGAAAUAAAUAGAAAAAGUGACUAAUGUAUUUUAAGAGAAAUGCACUUGAAGGCUAAAGUGUUCACAUUGAGAUUAAAUACUUAUCAAACUAGUAAGCAAAAAAUUCUGGAACCAUUCUUCUUAUAGUAAAGACUAACCAUAGAAAUAAUGAGAAAUUGUUGUAAGUUCUCAUUUAUCUAGGAAUAUUAUAUGAAAUGAAAUACUAAUAUAUUUUUUAAUUGAACAGUAGAAUGAAAUGGAAAAACCCAAACCUUAUCUGGAAGUCAAAAUUAUUUCACCAUCAUCAUCAGGGACUAGAAUGGUUAAAUGUCCCAAAUUUGAAGAGCCAUGACUUUCUUCUUUAGAGACAUUUCCCCCUACCUAGACUUUAGAGUGUAUCUACAUUAAUAUUUAUCAGCAGAAGUUUCUCCCCCUGUAUUUUGCUACUUUGUAUUAGUGUUGAUCCCACAUCAGUACAGUCUGUUUGGUUAGCACUAAGUGCUACAAAGAAUGAAAAGGGUUGCAAUUUAAGACAUUCUUGGGUUUCUGUGGGGAGACAAAUGCAAUGGUCUGAAAUGGCCCGGGAGGCCCUGAGCUUCAUUAGAGGGCUCACCUUCCACAGAGGGCCCUCUGUUUAAGGGGCUGACUCACCUCUAGCCCAUUAGGAAAGAACUCAAGGUUCUUGACCCCCCUUGGUUUUACGUGAGCAGAUUGCUUUUUGAUGUUGUUGAUUUUAUUGUUAGCAAGGUGCUUAGGACAUAGGUUAACAUAGUUCAAUAAAGAACCCUGUCAAGCUUUGAUGAACUUCCUCUAAAAUGAGAGGAUUAUACUCCUGACAAGUUUUCAGUAAAAAAAAAAAAGAAAAAAAAAAUGCUUAGAACUGUUUCCCUGCCCUGGGUAUAGUAAUGAGUUUGUCCUGAAUCAUGCCACAUUUCUGUCCUGUUCCUUUUAGGUGCAAUGGACUUUUCAAAUGGUCAGUUAAGUCAUGGCCAGGGCCAUGCAAGGAAAGCAAGGAGCCCUCACCACACUGCAUUCCCCUCUCUCACAAUCGUUUCGUAAAGAGUAUUAAUAGCUAAAAAUCAUUUGUGUAAUGGUUCACUUAUUUAGUCAGUGAUUAGUUCCUUAAAUAUCUAUCAAACAGCUAUUUGACUAAGGCCAUCAAGCUCAGGAUGAUGAAGUCAUAAUUCUCAUUCUCAAAGAACUACCAGUAAGAGAAAAGUAUUUCUUAGUGAAAGAAUAGCCUUCACCAGUAGAAGGCAAAGUAGUAGAAAUACAAAUAAGAAUUCUCGGAUUUCAGAGGCAAAAGAAAUCCCCGCAAGUUGUGCAGUCAGGAAAGGAGUGAGGACAUUUUAAAGCAUCGCCAUGUAAUGUAGGCUUUGAAGACUGGAUAUAGUUUCAAUGAAGAAAAAUGAGAGCCACGCAAUUCCAAUAUGUUGCCUCAUGGAAAUGGAGGACAAAAGCCACCUAAGUAAGGACAGGGUAGAGGAGCAGUCCCUGUCCAACAGGAAAGUAAACACCUUUCCAGGGAGAUGGAGAUGCCAGAGGGAGGAGGUGGGUCAGUGCUGGGACAGGUAUGAGCAUUCCCCAGCCUUGGUGCUGAAUCUGCAGGGUGUGUGGUUAGAAAGAACCAUAGAGUUUGAGGAAAAUCUGGAGCAGAGAGGUUUUUCAUGAUAUUCUAGAAGCUUAGGAAAAGGUUAAGCCUUUUAGGAAUCCUUCUGAGGGAAUUCCUAUGUUCAGAGAAGGAUGAUGCCACACAGGAGGUAUGUCAGAAUGACUGAGGAAGGCACCUACCUAAGACGGCUUCAGGGCAGACUCACAGCCCCUCUGGAACAAGCCAAAAUGCUAAAAUGCCAAGCAACCCAGAGCCUGGAAAGAUCUGGGAUUGGGACUUGGAGACC